GACAAUGAUGAUUCUU
RNAcentral lists this small RNA (16 nucleotides) under Arabidopsis thaliana (thale cress). RNAcentral's name for it is "ATSL179640". The record is from RNAcentral. Lineage: Eukaryota; Viridiplantae; Streptophyta; Magnoliopsida; Brassicales; Brassicaceae.